This 468-nucleotide ribosomal RNA is filed under the name uncultured bacterium. Its description in RNAcentral is "partial 16S ribosomal RNA". It matches the Rfam family "Bacterial small subunit ribosomal RNA", at positions 28 to 507 of the family's 1533-position model. The record is from RNAcentral.
GACGAACGCUGGCGGCGUGCUUAACACAUGCAAGUCGAACGGAAAGGCCCUGCUUUUGUGGGUUGGUCGAGUGGAGUUCGUGUGUGUAACACGUGAGUAUCCUGCACGUGACGUUGGGAUAACUUCUGGAAGCUGGGGAUAAUUGGGGAUAGGAGCUCAUGCUGCAUGGUGGGGGUUGGAAGGAUUCGGCGGUUGGGGAUGGACUGGCGGCUUAUCAGCUUGUUGGGGUGGUAGUGGAUGAGCGUGGCAUUGCGGGGUAGCCGGCCUGAGAGGGUGACCGGCCAGAUUGCGACUGGGCUGCGGCACAGACUCCUACGGGACGCAGCAGUGGGGAAUAUUGUACUAUGGGCGGAAGCCUGAUGCAGCACCGCCGCGUGCGGGAUGACGGCCUUCAGGUUGUAAUCCGCUGCCCCCUGAGAAGAAGAGAGAGUGACGGUAACGGGUAAAGAAGCACCGGCUAACUACGUG